Molecule: ribosomal RNA, 2562 nt
Filed under: Escherichia coli
Lineage: Bacteria; Pseudomonadati; Pseudomonadota; Gammaproteobacteria; Enterobacterales; Enterobacteriaceae
Description: partial 23S ribosomal RNA
Rfam family: Bacterial large subunit ribosomal RNA
Source: RNAcentral
CUGUGAGCUCGAUGAGUAGGGCGGGACACGUGGUAUCCUGUCUGAAUAUGGGGGGACCAUCCUCCAAGGCUAAAUACUCCUGACUGACCGAUAGUGAACCAGUACCGUGAGGGAAAGGCGAAAAGAACCCCGGCGAGGGGAGUGAAAAAGAACCUGAAACCGUGUACGUACAAGCAGUGGGAGCACAGAGCAAUCUGUGUGACUGCGUACCUUUUGUAUAAUGGGUCAGCGACUUAUAUUCUGUAGCAAGGUUAACCGAAUAGGGGAGCCGAAGGGAAACCGAGUCUUAACUGGGCGUUAAGUUGCAGGGUAUAGACCCGAAACCCGGUGAUCUAGCCAUGGGCAGGUUGAAGGUUGGGUAACACUAACUGGAGGACCGAACCGACUAAUGUUGAAAAAUUAGCGGAUGACUUGUGGCUGGGGGUGAAAGGCCAAUCAAACCGGGAGAUAGCUGGUUCUCCCCGAAAGCUAUUUAGGUAGCGCCUCGUGAAUUCAUCUCCGGGGGUAGAGCACUGUUUCGGCAAGGGGGUCAUCCCGACUUACCAACCCGAUGCAAACUGCGAAUACCGGAGAAUGUUAUCACGGGAGACACACGGCGGGUGCUAACGUCCGUCGUGAAGAGGGAAACAACCCAGACCGCCAGCUAAGGUCCCAAAGUCAUGGUUAAGUGGGAAACGAUGUGGGAAGGCCCAGACAGCCAGGAUGUUGGCUUAGAAGCAGCCAUCAUUUAAAGAAAGCGUAAUAGCUCACUGGUCGAGUCGGCCUGCGCGGAAGAUGUAACGGGGCUAAACCAUGCACCGAAGCUGCGGCAGCGACGCUUAUGCGUUGUUGGGUAGGGGAGCGUUCUGUAAGCCUGCGAAGGUGUGCUGUGAGGCAUGCUGGAGGUAUCAGAAGUGCGAAUGCUGACAUAAGUAACGAUAAAGCGGGUGAAAAGCCCGCUCGCCGGAAGACCAAGGGUUCCUGUCCAACGUUAAUCGGGGCAGGGUGAGUCGACCCCUAAGGCGAGGCCGAAAGGCGUAGUCGAUGGGAAACAGGUUAAUAUUCCUGUACUUGGUGUUACUGCGAAGGGGGGACGGAGAAGGCUAUGUUGGCCGGGCGACGGUUGUCCCGGUUUAAGCGUGUAGGCUGGUUUUCCAGGCAAAUCCGGAAAAUCAAGGCUGAGGCGUGAUGACGAGGCACUACGGUGCUGAAGCAACAAAUGCCCUGCUUCCAGGAAAAGCCUCUAAGCAUCAGGUAACAUCAAAUCGUACCCCAAACCGACACAGGUGGUCAGGUAGAGAAUACCAAGGCGCUUGAGAGAACUCGGGUGAAGGAACUAGGCAAAAUGGUGCCGUAACUUCGGGAGAAGGCACGCUGAUAUGUAGGUGAAGUCCCUCGCGGAUGGAGCUGAAAUCAGUCGAAGAUACCAGCUGGCUGCAACUGUUUAUUAAAAACACAGCACUGUGCAAACACGAAAGUGGACGUAUACGGUGUGACGCCUGCCCGGUGCCGGAAGGUUAAUUGAUGGGGUUAGCGCAAGCGAAGCUCUUGAUCGAAGCCCCGGUAAACGGCGGCCGUAACUAUAACGGUCCUAAGGUAGCGAAAUUCCUUGUCGGGUAAGUUCCGACCUGCACGAAUGGCGUAAUGAUGGCCAGGCUGUCUCCACCCGAGACUCAGUGAAAUUGAACUCGCUGUGAAGAUGCAGUGUACCCGCGGCAAGACGGAAAGACCCCGUGAACCUUUACUAUAGCUUGACACUGAACAUUGAGCCUUGAUGUGUAGGAUAGGUGGGAGGCUUUGAAGUGUGGACGCCAGUCUGCAUGGAGCCGACCUUGAAAUACCACCCUUUAAUGUUUGAUGUUCUAACGUUGACCCGUAAUCCGGGUUGCGGACAGUGUCUGGUGGGUAGUUUGACUGGGGCGGUCUCCUCCUAAAGAGUAACGGAGGAGCACGAAGGUUGGCUAAUCCUGGUCGGACAUCAGGAGGUUAGUGCAAUGGCAUAAGCCAGCUUGACUGCGAGCGUGACGGCGCGAGCAGGUGCGAAAGCAGGUCAUAGUGAUCCGGUGGUUCUGAAUGGAAGGGCCAUCGCUCAACGGAUAAAAGGUACUCCGGGGAUAACAGGCUGAUACCGCCCAAGAGUUCAUAUCGACGGCGGUGUUUGGCACCUCGAUGUCGGCUCAUCACAUCCUGGGGCUGAAGUAGGUCCCAAGGGUAUGGCUGUUCGCCAUUUAAAGUGGUACGCGAGCUGGGUUUAGAACGUCGUGAGACAGUUCGGUCCCUAUCUGCCGUGGGCGCUGGAGAAUUGAGGGGGGCUGCUCCUAGUACGAGAGGACCGGAGUGGACGCAUCACUGGUGUUCGGGUUGUCAUGCCAAUGGCACUGCCCGGUAGCUAAAUGCGGAAGAGAUAAGUGCUGAAAGCAUCUAAGCACGAAACUUGCCCCGAGAUGAGUUCUCCCUGACUCCUUGAGAGUCCUGAAGGAACGUUGAAGACGACGACGUUGAUAGGCCGGGUGUGUAAGCGCAGCGAUGCGUUGAGCUAACCGGUACUAAUGAACCGUGAGGCUUAACCUUACAACGCCGAAG